Molecule: transfer RNA, 68 nt
Filed under: uncultured Prevotella sp.
Lineage: Bacteria; Pseudomonadati; Bacteroidota; Bacteroidia; Bacteroidales; Prevotellaceae
Rfam family: tRNA
About the family: Transfer RNA (tRNA) molecules are approximately 80 nucleotides in length. Their secondary structure includes four short double-helical elements and three loops (D, anti-codon, and T loops).
Source: RNAcentral
GGCAAUAGCUCAGUUGGCAGAGCGUUGGCUUCCCAAGCCGAAGGUCGCGGGUUCGAACCCCGUUUGCC